GACGAACGCUGGCGGCGUGCCUAACACAUGCAAGUCGAGCGAUGAAGAUUGGCUCUCGCACCAAUUUGAAGAGCAGCGGACGGGUGAGUAACGCGUGGGGAAUCUGCCUUUGAGCGGGGGGCAACAUAUGGAGACGAAUGCUAAUACCGCAUAAUAACUUUAAAGAUAAGGUUUAAGUGUGAAAGCGGUAAUUGCUUCACUCAAGGCUGAUCACGCGUUGUAUUAGCUAGUUGGUGAGGUAAAGGCUCACCAAGGCGAUGAUACAUAGCCGACCUGAGAGGGUGGUCGGCGACAUUGGGACUGAGACACGGCCCAAACGACUAAGGGAGGGAGCAGUAGGGAAUCUUCGGCAAUGGACGAAAGUCUGGCCCAGCAACGGCGCGUGAGGUGAGGAGGGUUUCGGAUCGGAAAACUCGGUUGGGAGAGGAGAACGUUGGUGAGAGUGGAAAGCUCAUCAAGUGACGGUACCUACCCAGAAAGCACCGGCUAACUACGUG
Molecule: ribosomal RNA, 497 nt
Filed under: uncultured bacterium
Lineage: Bacteria
Description: partial 16S ribosomal RNA
Rfam family: Bacterial small subunit ribosomal RNA
Source: RNAcentral